UGGCCACUCUGCACAGGGGCUAGGGGUCUCUGGAUGUGGAGAAGAGCCCUAGAGUCCUCCUUUGGGCUGGGCACCCUUUCUGGACCUCAAGUCUGGGAAAGCAGGAGGGAUUCUGGUACCCCUGAGACGCCCUUCCUUCUCAGCAGGCCAUGAUACCCCUGUGACAGAGGAUAAGACAAAAGCUUCGGGAGGUGGGACAAGGUGCCUGGGUCACACAGAUGAGAUCGGAGCAGAAACAACAUCCAGAAGAGGACAUCUUUCAACUGCAGCGCAAACCAGACCUCCAUGGGAGUAAAAUUGUCAUUUGGUAUAACAUGAAUAUAGAAAAGGCUGAAAAAAGCCUUAUGUGGCAGAAGGCAGAGGACAGAGCAUCAUGGAAAGUGGCCAGUGACAAGGGACGUGAAUGACAGAGGAAUCAUAGAGUAUGCAUAGUCUCCUAAGAAACAGCAUGCUACAGAGGUGACAAUAGUCCUGAAACCCUGGUUAGGAUGAGCUACACAAAGUACUCAGCAGGAAUCCUGCUCAUUAUCAUCACUCUGCUGGACGUGGAGGUUUCAGAGAUCUCACAACUUGGAGAAAGCAGGAAAAUUUUUCUUUUAAUAGAAGCGGAGGAAAAUGAAUGAGGUCCCAGAUGGCUCCAGCUCCAGUACACCUGACCAGGACAGCACUGACCUGGGGAGACAUUAGGACUUUAACUCAUCAAGUCAAGACCUUGGGAAGACAACAACAAAGCACAAUACUACUGACCCUAAAAUGAUGCUGUGGUAUUUACUAACUGUAUCACAUGUUAAUUCUCAGCUUGUCAAUAUAAAAUACAAAUGUCA
Long non-coding RNA from Peromyscus eremicus (cactus mouse), 824 nucleotides. RefSeq lists it as uncharacterized. The record is from RefSeq and is a predicted model, not a curated record. The transcript has 7 exons. NCBI's taxonomy places the organism in Eukaryota, Metazoa, Chordata, Mammalia, Rodentia, Cricetidae.